GACGAACGCUGGCGGCGUGCCUAAUACAUGCAAGUAGAACGCACAGUUUAUACCGUAGCUUGCUACACCAUAGACUGCGAGUUGCGAACGGGUGAGUAACGCGUAGGUAACCUGCCUGGUAGCGGGGGUUAACUAUUGGAAACGAUAGCUAAUACCGCAUAAUAUUAAUUAUUGCAUGAUAAUUAAUUGAAAGGUGCAAUUGCACCACUACCAGAUGGACCUGCGUUGUAUUAGCUAGUAGGUGAGGUAACGGCUCACCUAGGCGACGAUACAUAGCCGACCUGAGAGGGUGAUCGGCCACACUGGGACUGAGACACGGCCCAGACUCCUACGGGAGGCAGCAGUAGGGAAUCUUCGGCAAUGGACGAAAGUCUGACCGAGCAACGCCGCGUGAGUGAAGAAGGUUUUCGGAUCGUAAAGCUCUGUUGUAAGAGAAGAACGGGUGUGAGAGUGGAAAGUUCACACUGUGACGGUAUCUUACCAGAAAGGGACGGCUAACUACGUG
This 505-nucleotide ribosomal RNA is filed under the name uncultured bacterium. Its description in RNAcentral is "partial 16S ribosomal RNA". It matches the Rfam family "Bacterial small subunit ribosomal RNA", at positions 28 to 507 of the family's 1533-position model. The record is from RNAcentral.